GACGUAGGGUGCAAGCGUUAUCCGGAUUUACUGGGCGUAAAGAGCGCGUAGGCGGUCUGUUAAGUGAGAGGUGAAAUCUUCAGGGCUCAACCCGAAAAUUGCUUUUCAUACUGGCAGACUUGGGGGAUGGAGAGGUAUGUGGAAUUCCUGGUGUAGCGGUGAAAUGCGUUGAUAUCAGGAGGAACACCCAUGGCGAAGGCAGCAUACUGGUCAUCAUCUGACGCUGAGGCGCGAAAGCGUGGGUAGCAAACAGG
RNAcentral lists this ribosomal RNA (254 nucleotides) under uncultured bacterium. RNAcentral's name for it is "partial 16S ribosomal RNA". It matches the Rfam family "Bacterial small subunit ribosomal RNA", at positions 524 to 776 of the family's 1533-position model. The record is from RNAcentral.